CCAGCACCCCGAGUGGUCGGGACGAUUAUUGGGCCUAAAGCAUCCGUAGCCGGUUUUACAAGUCCCCCGUUAAAUCCAGCUGCUUAACAGAUGGGCUGCGGAGGAUACUAUAAGACUAGGAGGCAGGAGAGGCAAGCGGUACUCAGUGGGUAGGGGUAAAAUCCGUUGAUCCAUUGAAGACCACCAGUGGCGAAGGCGGCUUGCCAGAAUGCGCUCGACGGUGAGGGAUGAAAGCUGGGGGAGCAAACCGGAUUAGAUACCCGGGUAGUCCCAGCUGUAAACGAUGCAGACUCGGUGAUGGACUAGCUUUGUGCUAGUCCAGUGCCGCAGGGAAGCCGUUAAGUCUGCCGCCUGGGUAGUACGGUCGCAAGACUG
Molecule: ribosomal RNA, 375 nt
Filed under: uncultured organism
Description: bacterial SSU rRNA
Rfam family: Archaeal small subunit ribosomal RNA
Source: RNAcentral